RNAcentral lists this long non-coding RNA (964 nucleotides) under Capra hircus (goat). RNAcentral's name for it is "lncRNA (ENSCHIG00000002453.1)". The record is from RNAcentral. Lineage: Eukaryota; Metazoa; Chordata; Mammalia; Artiodactyla; Bovidae.
GGAACCUCAGAUUGCAGCUUUUAAAGUAUGCAAAUAUAUCUCUUUCAGGGGAAGACAGGGAGAUGGGUGUUUCUGUCUGCUUUCUCUGUGCUGAGCCCUGGGAUGAUAACCCGUUCAGAACUAGUCUUUUGUUCACUACCAUCCUGUUGAACCCAUGAAUGUAAGCCCCACUGGACAUCAGAGCCAGUUGGAUUUGUUGCUCUUGACUUCUACAAAACAAGAAAUGAAGACUAGGCAGUGUGAAGCAAUGGAAAGAUGGCUACAUCUUGGCAGUCUUAUUUUCAGAAGAUUAUCUGGUAUUCUUUAUUGAGAACCAGGAAAGACAAGCUUCAAGGCAGGGCAGUUGAAUGUCCUGAGCACCUGUCCCUUGACCUGCAGACAUAAAGUGAGGAUAAAUACUGGCCAAGAUGUAACAAACUUCGAUGGAGAAUCCUGGGCCACGUGGUGGCAUGCAGACCUUUUGUUACUGGGAAGUGAUGGGAGCUCCCUCAUGGGAGGGGCAGAGUGCCCUCCCUUGUCUCCACCUCCCCAUCAGGACCUGGAAGAAUCAGAAUCUGUCUCCCAUUGCUCUGGGGGUAGGAGGUCCCCUUCUGAGCUGGACAGGGAGAGAAUCUAUUCUAGAAUAGAUGAUCUCACCUCUUCCACCUAUUACUGUAUCAGCCAGGAAGGAGCUUGGGCGGCCACGUGGCUGAAGGAUUCGGGGAGCUCACGGUGCGGGCAGGCAGAUUUUACAAUGAGAGAGAUCAGAUCACUGAACCAGAGUGCACAUCAGAUUUCUACUCUUUGUAUCACCAGUAACUAACUUUGGCCACUUGAUGUGAAGAACUGACUCAUUGGAAAAGACCCUGAUGCUGGGAAAGAUUGAAGGCAGGAGGAGGAGGGGACGACAGAGGAUGAGAUGGUUGGAUGGCAUUACCAACUCGAUGGAUGUAAGUCUGAGCAAGCUCCAGGAAUUGGUGAUGGA